UACCACUUCUACUGUAGGUGCUUAUUACUAUAAAAUUAUUACUGGGUGCGUCUAUUUUUACGCUGCUAUCGCACUCGCUAUCUGAUGACUAUUAUUCAGAUGCAAAAUUACCGUUGGAUAGAUCCUGUGUGUGCGGACGACGUACAUUCAACGAUCUUCGUUAAAUAAGAACGCCUAUUAUAGUCGGCCUUUACUACCUGCGACUACAUCUUAAAUCUCCAGAAAAUUUUAUCAUAUCUCUUUGGUCAGUUUAAUGUUUCGUCUCAGUCGCGCAUCAUUCCCAGUACAUCUCAACAAGCUACACGAAACAGAGACUAGUUCAUGCGUUUCCGUAACGCUCCCCCUUGGCGUCACUAGUAUCCGCCUGCCGGCUACUGAAGCAAUCAGUACGAAUGUAUUACCACCGCUAGUAAUAGCUGGGCUGAUGAAGGCUUCGAAAAUCGCCUGUUUUCGUUUCGAUGUCGACCCCGAAGUAUAGCGCUAACCAAAUAGUUGCCUUCACCUGAGACGAAGUAUGGUAGCUCUGUGUUCUGAUUUAACUAUCACUUCAACGCAUGGCAUACGCUUACCGUCAAAGAUUACCGUGCGUUUAAACUGUCAGUGCUCCCCUCUGCGUCUCACUGAUCUACGUAUUUCAUUGUAUUGACUAUCGCAUCAGCAAGCUCUUGCCGGUUCCGCCGCUCGAGCGCCGAUGCCAAGAUUAAUUUCGAAUAGUACAGGCGCGUUGAUGCUGGGUCGGACGAUAGGUGCCUAUUGCCGAUUAUCCCUGCCCAGUCAUUUGUGACAGGUACUACGAUUAUAGUUGUUGCCGCCGCCGCCGCCGCCGCCGCCGCCGCUGUUGUUGAUGCUACUGUGACUUUAGUCGGCCGCCAACCAGGAGCGACAGCGCAGUGGCCAAAGCAGAACAGAAGCGUCACCCACUGACUUAUUGACUGACCACGAAACACCACGACCGUCGCAACAACUACAGCAGUGUGAGCCGCCGUGACUAAAGCGGUGUCUCGAUAUCAGCAGAAGCAGCUGCAGGAGCCUUCGUCGAUGCGUGGUACGGAGGAGAGCAAAAAAGCGUAACUGAUGGGAGAAAAGAGUGGUCCGUUGUCAGCCUGAUUGAGUCAGCUUUGCUGCGAGCGCGUUUUCGCCAUCUAUUGCUCUCUCUCACGCUCUGCAUGUAGAUAUAUGCAUGCUUUAUAUCGUUUUGCCUGCACUAUAUGCAGACGGAGCGGAUAGAAAUAGCGGAACACGAACGCAGCCAUGCGCCGGUCGUAUAGCCUCUGCACAACAACAAACGGAGGGAUAGAGGCGCUCGUAGGCCUUUCGCUAGGACACAAUUCAAUAGACAUUGGCUUCGGAACAGAUCGAGGAACGGCCGAUGACUGAACGAAAUGAAAGUACAGCUAGAGCAUUAAAUUGGACUUGUAGAAGUACCGCGAGCUGCAGCAGAGCCGGACACAAAAGCCGUAAAAGAGAAAGGAAAAGGCUUCCCUGGCUUAGGGGAUCAACAAAAGAAAACACAGAAAAUCAUCAUCCGCGAUCUGCUUUGACAAUGUCGCCUGCUCUAGCGCGCUCCAAUGGAGUACUCGAAAUUUCACAUAUGGUACUUACAGCGGUAUUAUGGUCAGUCGGAUUGGCAGCUGUUAUUAUGGGGUCGUUGCUACUCACGGACUCGCGCAUGAGUGGCCUUCAAACUCUGCGGCACUUCGGACCUCUCCAAAGCGCAUCGAUCCUCGUCGUAGUGAUUGGUGUUCUUGUUAUCGUUUUGGGAAUUAUCGGCUGCCUCGGUGUGAACGCCCGCAGCCGACCUCUGCUGUUAAUUUUCUCUUUCUUCCUCGUAUGCCACAUGAUCCUCGAGAUUGCCUGCUGCAUUCUAACCUGGUAUUACAAGCGGGGCACUACGCUGGAGAAAAGACUACAGAGUCUGAUCGACCGCGUGAUUCAGCAGUAUGGAGAUGGCAGGAUUGAAUACAUAUCAGGCGACGAAGACUGGAGUUUCAACAGGAAUGAGCUAAGCUUUGUCGAGUAUACGUUGCAAUGCUGUGGAUCCACAAGAGGCGUGGACGACUACAUCAGCCGAAAGAUUUCUAUACCUCAAAGUUGUUACAAUCGAAACUACAUCAAUUACGAUUAUGACGAAAGUUAUAACCAAGGAAUGUACAAUGACGUCAGUUGCGUGAAGACCCUUCAGGAUUUCCUGUACAGACACGGGUUAGCUCUUGGCCUAUUAUGCGUCCUUGCUCUUGUGCUUGAGAUAGGUCUGUUAGUCCUGUCGAUGGUCCUGGCUGAUCGUGCCAUGUCUAAUACUUCCCCAAAGAUGAAGGAAAGCAGCCCACAACAGAAGCCAACAGGAUAUGCUUCGGUAACCCAAACAUAUCAACCAUCGCAACCCGAUCAUCGCGAGCAUGUUCCUGUCGAACAGACACAAUCAGAAUACCUUCAAUCGUCAGAUCCUUACCAAAAAUCGAUUUUUUCCGAGGAUGUCUAGGUGGAGUUUGGUAAACCCAACUCGAUCUGUGUAACUUCGAUCCUAUAAAUCUAUCGUGGUCAAUUUAGAGGAUAUGAAGUUGGACUAGAAAGAUAUUUUCGCUUGUUUUGACUCAGUCAAAAUUUAUCUAUUAAGUAAAAUUGUUGUGUCGAGCUAUAAUAACAUAUAGGUCAUCCCCUUGUCAAUGUCUGUCUAUCACUAUAUUGAUUCGUAGGAUAGCGCCCGACUACUGCCAUAAUUGCAAACGAACAUACAUAGCUGGUAUUGGAGCAUUGAAUAUGGUUUCUGCAGACAGUUACGCACGCAGGGUGCAUGCGUCAUGCAUAGUAGCAUACAUAACAUAACAUAGUAACAAGCGGUGCAAGACAGAAGACGUUGAUUUUUGACAUAUUCAUCGUAUCUGUACACUCGUGACUCUAGCGCAUGGUUCAAUACAACUGGAACAACUUGUACCAAGUUCUGUAGACGGCAGAUAGUUGCGCCGCUAUGUCAUAGUUCCAUUGGUUGCCAUUAUAGAGGAUGCGCUGUUUGAUUCCGGUAACUUACUGAUCGGAGUGAACGAAAAUAUUAAACAGCACCUGCUGAACUUCCGGCGCAAGCCUAUUCGAUUUUGAUAAGUGUCCUUUUUUCGGACAGACUCAAGACCGAAACAAUACUACAACGUCAUCGUAAUAGUAGUUUCUCUUUACGAAAUGUCAAAAUUAGUUUUUUAAUCGAAGUAAGUUACACAAAUACAUCUACGAUGAACAAUUCCAAUAAGUUCGUGGUGAGGAACUCUCUUUGCCGACCGCCACGUUAAGAUAGUGUGAAUGUUAGUAAAUAUGGAAAUGAAGCAGAUUGUGUAUGUGAAAUGUCUUUGUAUUUGAAAAUUUGGUGGAAUUUCUUGUUUAUCGAAGGUCGCUGAGAGCGUCCAGCUAGUAGGUAGAUAAUACACACUGAAAUCGUAUAGUUUACCCUGCUAAUGUAAGGUACAAGCGCAGUUUAACUGUAUAUGCAGAGUCAAUUUCCAGACACCAUAUACAUACUUAUGGCCCCGUGUGUCGAAACGUGUUGAUAGUUAUGAUAGUGGGUAUGUUUAUAUCUCAGUUCCCAUGCAAUAUACAUGGCAACCUGUUAAAUCUAACAAUUCGCCAUGCACAAAUAUCUCAAUAGUAAUCUUGUGGGGAGCCCCAUCUCAUAAUAUUUAUUGUUCUUAAUUAGUGCUAUUAUUACUACAAUGGCAUAUCUUAGUAUUCGAUCUAAAAUCUAAUUCGUGAACCUUUAUGACAAUAUAUAUAUAAAGUACUGUAAAAGUUCACUUGCACAAUACCCAAAGGCCUAUUAUUGGCGUUAUCUAGCUUUUUUUUUUCUUUUUUUUGUUAUGAGUAGCAAGCGUCUGUACGAGAUCUGAAUUUUAAGUUUCCGUAAACAAUAUCUCUUGCAACUAUUGCUAGCGUAUUCCAUAUCGUUAGGCGUGACUGAUCAAAUCGGAAAAUGUAGGAGGAACUUACCUCACAUGAUGUUUACGUGAUUGCAUUUUUAACAGACGACAUCUUUCUCAUACAUUUAUCUGUCGCAUAUUUAUCGCUAAAUAAAAUAGUCAUUGUCUAGCCGGUAAUCGGAAAAGUAUUUCGUCUUGCUUGUCGUAUUUAGCACAGCAAAACGCUGUCAACUAAUAUGUACUCUAUUCCCUUUUUGUCCUGCGUUCGGCAGUAUUUUGCAGCCACUCCUUUCAUUGUCUGAAUUGGUGAUCGACAAGACGCACCAGGUUCGCUGUGUAAGGCAGAAAUUAUAUACAAGAGUACGUCUAUGUAUUCAAUGUUCGUAGUGAUAGUAGGAAUAAACGCAAAUUACGUAGUUGAAAGAGAACUGCAGUACCGUGCAGUGGGAGGUAGCAACGUCGCUGACGUCGUGAUGCAACGCGAGCAUCAACAUCGCAGAAGUCACUGUCCAACCGUAAAAAUGAUCUCAUCACAGAAAUAUAAGUUAUCACUUGACAACCCUGCAUUUUUUUAACGCUAACGUAGUCCCCCACUCGACUAUCAUUAACACACAUUACAGAUAAACGGAGUAAUAACAAUCACACAGAUUUCCUGAAUUUGUCUCGAAUCUAGAUGAAAAAUGUUCAGCUGCUCUGAGAACGAAACCACUUCAACCAGUUUUUGUUGAACGUCCGAAACUGUGUUAGUAUUGUAUCAGACGGCUGAUCACUAAACAAGCGCGUCUGUUCAAGCGAAGAUUGAAACAGGCCGAUGCUCUCCCAUACCCAAUCACCAGAGGAUCUAAAAUUAUAAUGAAGAUCGUCAAAAGACAGAAGAUGAUGAAGCGUUCGUUUUCUGCGGCCACAACCAGCAUUUGGCUUUAACUGAUUACACGAUAGCCGCCCGCUGACGGAACAACAACUGUUAGGGCGACCCCAGCUGUAUUGACUGGCGACAUCGCUAGCCAAGAGCAACUGCUUUCAUCACCACCAGCAGCAGCAGCAGCAGCAGCAGCAGCAGCACCAGCAGCAGCAGUAGCAGCAGCACCAGCAGCAGUAGCAGCAGCAUUCAAACAAGAAACAAGCGACGUUCUGGUAACGGUCAGUCUGGUGGCCAGCUGUGAUGCAACGGUUGUUGUACCCCCUUCCUCCCGCACCGAUCGAUUCUCCCUCGAGCUACGUUAACUGCCCUCUCUGCCUCACCCCAUCGGUCGGUUCAGUCAGUAUUUUCCCAAGUUUCUGCCGCCCCUGAUAUACACAGACGCUGUAUAGAUAUGAUCAUCAUCAUCAUCAUCGAUGCACGCAUCACAAUCAGGAUCAUUGGAGCGUUUAUCCACUGGGCUAUUUUGUAGCGAUUAUUCAUUAAGAAAUAAUGCGGCGUUCUAGACAUCGACAUCCCGACAUUCUCCGGCCUUAAAAAGGAUUUUUACGAUUUGACCGAUUUCAAACAGCCUCCCUCGUUUGACCAUUGCAUCAAAACACCGAAGCCUCCGAAGAGGGCAGCGGGAGUUUAAGCUAUUUUAGAAUGGCUCGUCUUGCAAAACAGCUCCUUAAACGUCCUUAUUCUCUGUUAGCAAUUACAUGACGCGCUUCUAUGGCGUCUCGCAAAGAUGAUAUCUUUCCGCACUCGUCAGUUACUCAAGAUCCAAUGAAAUUUUAUUGUAGCAUUUCUACGAUACCUGCACUAUAUAAUUUAGUUGAACGAAAUGACAAUGGUAGUUAUUUCAUAAAUAGACGCUAAGAAGACUCGUAUUGUUAAAACUCGUUCUUCACUAGCAGCUAGAAACGACAAAUCAUCUAACUUCAACUUUGAACUACAUCAUAACGAUGUCUAUACAAUGUUUACUUCUCACGGAGACUACAGUAACCUGUCAAAUCGUUAGCGAUUAUCAUAUCGUUUUGGGCUAACCAAAUAUUGUACCGUGACACCUCAAAACUGCUAUGUUUUAUGUGAGAAAUGGCUUUGGGAGUGAGGGGAGCGUCGGUGCGCUGGCCGCUAACAUAAGUCAUUAGUCAUUAACAUCGAGCAUCGCAUUGACAUUUGUCGUUUUCCCGCUGCCAUAUCCUGCAGCGGUCGUCGUCGUCGCCAUUCCUGGAUUUACGGCGUCGAGAAGUCAGGAAUGGCCCCCUGGGUUCGCAAGUGUCAAGUUUGUUGCUGUGAUGACCGCUCUGCAGGCAAUCAGCGUCGCUAAGGCAAUAUUGCUUAGCGGCAAUAGCGUCAAGCUAUCGUCCGUCGGACGCUGUCGAAUUUUUCAGCUCGUUCGUCUGUUGCUUCCUAUAUCGUUUCUUCAGCCACAUAUACACGCUUGUAACUUGAUUUGUAGUUACAGUUAUUUUUGGUAUUUUUGAAGAAAAGCAAAGGUCGACGGUAGCCUCAACAGUAGCCCUUAAUGUCAGGCGCGCUGCCGCAAAACCAAUAUAAGGACAACUCUUAACAAAUAUGCAUUGGCAUCAAAGAAAUAACAACUUUCCUCGUACGCGUUAAUCCUGCAGAACUUGGCAGUGUACUACAUAGAAAAAGGAUACUCCUUCAGAAGUUGAUUGUUAAGAAACGUUAGCACACUAUUGAAUAAGACUACGGACAACUCGAGAUUUUCUACCGCACCCACAAGUUCAACGUAUGUUGAUGAUGUCUCUACUUUCGACCGUGCGCUUUCGUCAUACGUCGAGUCAACUAGCAGGAAAGCGCUAAAACGGGACAAAUUGUAAAAACAAAAACAGAAAAAUUGUAAGCACUUUAGGCUUCGGCAACGCCACAGAGUUAGCGCGCGCAGUAACGUCUAGCUGCUUUGCUCAGCGAUUUUUUCUCUAAGCGUCUUAGUUAAAGCCGACAUACAAGUGAGCAGUAUAAUCGCCCGAGUUGGGAAAAUUAAGCAGUCUUGAUUUUAGAACUCCGAUACUAAAUUUAAUCCCACCCGGGACCACUCAGGGGGUUUGUUGCUGCGCGCCUAAUAGCAAA
Molecule: non-coding RNA, 6897 nt
Organism: Varroa destructor (honeybee mite)
Lineage: Eukaryota; Metazoa; Arthropoda; Arachnida; Mesostigmata; Varroidae
Source: RefSeq, a predicted model, not a curated record